UAUACGCAAUACGGAUCAUAAAAGGAAAAAAUAAAUACGUUGAUACGUUUUUUACCUUUAUAAUGAAAUCUUUUUUUCUUGAAUCAAUUUAAUAAUGGUAAAAAUUAUUGUUGUCCUUUUCCUGACCGAACUUGUUCUUGGUCUUCGAGUGGUGCCACAUCAUAGAAGAUCACUUAGAAAUGACCGAUUAGAAAAUCAUAAAAGUGGUAACAUUUUAGAACGAAUUUUAAGUGAUUUGUCUACGAGACGGUUGCUAAAAAGCAGAUCCACAAACCAUGAAAACUUGUCGAAAGCUCAACAUAUUUACAAAGCGUUAUCGAAGUAUAUGCCAAAACAUAAAUUGAAAAAAAUGCUACGUGAGGAUGAAGAAACUCCUGAAGUAGCCAUCCCAGCUGAUCCAGAAAGAGAGAAUGUAAGAAACGAACAAGCGGUAAUAGUGGAACAUGAGCUUAUGGACGCUCUCACUAAACAGAGUUCUGCUUUACUGGAUUCGCCAUAUGUCGAGAAAAAGGGAAGAAAUGAUUUUCUAGUCAUGAAACCUGAUAUUACAGACCCAUUCGUGACAGUGAUACCUAACGCAAUAUACUACAACGUGGAAAAGAAAUGUGUCAACUGGCUAGAUGAUUGUAGCCUACAAGGCAUAAGAAGUAGGUUAUUAAAUAAAGUAAUGGAUUAACAUUACUCUGGAUGAACUUGCAUUUCUUAAAAAUAAUAACUUUAGUAUCUUGUUCUUUUGAUUAUACAAAUUCUAUAACUCUGUACAUUUGCAAUGUUUGUAUACCGUUGAUAGCGCUUAAAAUCGUAUUAUGGAUGCUAAAUAUAACUAGUUUUGGACGGAAA
Ostrinia nubilalis (European corn borer) is the source of this 840-nucleotide long non-coding RNA. RefSeq lists it as uncharacterized. The record is from RefSeq and is a predicted model, not a curated record. NCBI's taxonomy places the organism in Eukaryota, Metazoa, Arthropoda, Insecta, Lepidoptera, Crambidae. The transcript is spliced from 2 exons.